RNAcentral lists this ribosomal RNA (467 nucleotides) under Lacticaseibacillus rhamnosus. RNAcentral's name for it is "bacterial SSU rRNA". It matches the Rfam family "Bacterial small subunit ribosomal RNA", at positions 57 to 506 of the family's 1533-position model. The record is from RNAcentral. Lineage: Bacteria; Bacillati; Bacillota; Bacilli; Lactobacillales; Lactobacillaceae.
GAUUAUUGAAAGGUGCUUGCAUCUUGAUUUAAUUUUGAACGAGUGGCGGACGGGUGAGUAACACGUGGGUAACCUGCCCUUAAGUGGGGGAUAACAUUUGGAAACAGAUGCUAAUACCGCAUAAAUCCAAGAACCGCAUGGUUCUUGGCUGAAAGAUGGCGUAAGCUAUCGCUUUUGGAUGGACCCGCGGCGUAUUAGCUAGUUGGUGAGGUAACGGCUCACCAAGGCAAUGAUACGUAGCCGAACUGAGAGGUUGAUCGGCCACAUUGGGACUGAGACACGGCCCAAACUCCUACGGGAGGCAGCAGUAGGGAAUCUUCCACAAUGGACGCAAGUCUGAUGGAGCAACGCCGCGUGAGUGAAGAAGGCUUUCGGGUCGUAAAACUCUGUUGUUGGAGAAGAAUGGUCGGCAGAGUAACUGUUGUCGGCGUGACGGUAUCCAACCAGAAAGCCACGGCUAACUACGU